UAAGAAGCAUAGAAAGAAGGAAAGGUCUAGGGAUAAGAAAAAGAACAGAAAGGAGAAAAGAAACAAACGCUAACAUACAAAUGGCAACUACGUGGCCAAUUUGAACGUGAUGCUGAAAUUGCAAUAAAUGAGGUCCAUGAGGAUGUGCAACAAUAGAAUUGCCCAAAGUUUCUUAUUCAAAAUUGUACUGAAACUUAGGAAGAAAUGAAUAUUUGCAAGGCUUUUUGUAUUGAUCCACUGUCAAGUUACUGCCCAUUUUAUGCUUAUUGCCCAACAGAAUCAGGUUGUGAUCAAUUUUCAUGUUUUUGAUAUUAUUAUAAGAUGCUCAUCCCUCCCUUUCUCUUGGUUCUAACCACAAAUAAUUAAGAGUCCUUGUUCCCUCUGUUAAGAUUUAUGUGUUGCCCUAUCUAUAAGAGAGGAGUGACUACCUAACCAAUCUUUCAUGUGUUCUUGAUGAAAAUCUAUCCAAUGAAGAGUGACCAUCUUUAAACAGUAUGUUUGGAUCGAAGGAACUGGAGAAAAAACAAUAG
Molecule: unclassified non-coding RNA, 530 nt
Filed under: Hevea brasiliensis (rubber tree)
Lineage: Eukaryota; Viridiplantae; Streptophyta; Magnoliopsida; Malpighiales; Euphorbiaceae
Source: RNAcentral